GCCAGGCAUGGCAGCUGGCGCCUGUAAUCCCAACUACUUGAGAGGCUGAGGCAGGAGAAUUGCUUGAACCCAGGAGGUGGAGGUUGCAGUGAGUUGAGUAGCAGAGCAAGACUCUGUCUCUCUGUCUCUCUCUCUCUCUGUCACACACACACACACACACACACACACACACACACACACGCACACACAGAGAAACAUCCCAGUGUGGUUAAACCUCUGGGCCUCUUCCUGCCUCUGAUUUUCAUCAAUGAGAAUGGGAGAAUAUUAACUUCUCUCACAGGAUACAGAGUAUGUUAAGGAGUCGUAAUUCAUCAAUGUUGUAUUGGUUUUUCUCUUUCUUUCUUUCUUUCUUUUUUUUUUUAUCCUUUGUUGGUGCUUUGCUGUCUGUGUGGAGGACACAGAGAGUCAUAAACCACGAUCUCCUCUCUUCCAGAGUUCCUUCUUGGCGUUAGAGUCAUCGGCCGGCUGUGUUGUAGCCAAUGUGCUGAGCUUUGCGGCUCCUGGAGCUAGCUCCCUUCCUCUCCGCUGCCUCCAUGCGUGGAGGUCACUUGCUGGAACGCAGAUGUGUGCAAUGCCCAGAGAUCCAAGUAAAAUAUCUCAACCGGUUCUUGUGGUUGUGGAAACACCUUUGGCUCCCAGAUGGUUGACACUGACAAACAGAAGUCCCUGCUCCGUCUGACAUCACGUGGCUCAGCUGCCUUCUCAAAAAGUGAGCUUCCUGUGUGGAUAAGGCAGCCCCAUAGCCAGCCUGGCAACAGACAGCUUCAUGAGAAGGGAAAAGAUGAAGACGGAUUCCCGGGCGAGGCCGACAGUGAGGCCGACAGUGGAUCCGCCAUUCCUGCCUGAGCCUCUUCCACAGCUGUCCUUUUUAGAGGUCACCAGACCUUCCUCACACAGACCUCAUGGUGCCCGCACCUGGACUCAUUAGAAGGUUCUGUUGCCUUAGCUUAGUAAAUUUUCAUGGAGAGCUUUAAGUUUUUCUUUUUGCAUGUUAUCCUCAUGGUUGUACUCUCCAGGGGGCUUGUUCCUUCGGUAAUUAUCUUUAAUGACGGUAUUUCCAUAUUGACGCGAGGUGGGUGGGGUGUUGAAGAGAGAGGGAGACUCGAGACGGUGCAUUGACUCUGGAUUACAUUAGAGGGGUUAGAUGGAUGAGUGUUAGUUACAUCCCAAUCAGAACAUUUGCACCACUAGGUUUCACCAAAUGCCAAUCAUACUGGACUGAGCUCCUCUGCUCCUCUCCCUGAAACAUUAACAAAAAGUCAUUAACAAAAAGCCUUCCUGUUCUGAAGGCAAAUAUCUAUCUAUCUAUCUCAUCAGUCUUAGGGCUGGAAGAGAUGCAGCUCUGGGCUGGCUCUGAUGCGGACUUGUCACAAAGGCUUGGCUCUGCCCACGUGACCGUAUCCUUGGAAGAAAAAAAAAAUGGGGAUGCACAAAGUGACCAGCACAGGGUAUUCGUGAUGACCGGGGAACAGAGAUUGAGAAAGCAAGAGCCUUCCUGGCAAAUCUGGGUUCAGACGCGGCAGAGACAGCUGUUUCCAGCCACUGCUAUGAACCCAUCUAAGUGAAAUUGUGAGGACUAAGGAGAGAGGCACCCAUGACUGCCUUAAUCCACUCCUACCCAUCGUCUCUUCACCCAUCCACCCAUCCUUGCUGCAGACCUUUACUGGGCACCUGUGCCAGGAGACCAUCACUGCCCAUCAGAAGCUCAUACAGGGAGAAGCAGUGGCCACAGCAGAAGGCGUCCCGGGUCCUAGAGAGCACCUGGAGAACAAGGGAGAGCUGCAGAAACCGCCCUGUCUGCAUGUGUGCCCUCAUGUUCUUGGGUGCAUGUCUGUGUUUGUGUGUGUGUUUGCUUAUGUGCAUGUGCAGUGUGUGUGUGUUCGAGACAGAGCGAGACUGAGAGUGCAAGUGGGUGUAAGCACACACACCCACCCGUCAGCCCUGCCUGUCUGCUCAGAGUUUUGCCUGUCACCCGGCCACGCCCUGUGACCCCCCUCCUCGGCUGGGUGCAGCCAGGACACCUGUUGCCAGCUGCGAGCACCUGCCUGGUUGCUGCGCCCGUGUCCUGUGCAUGUUCCAAGCCAGCCCCCUGGGGUAAUCCAGGCCAUGACUCAGGAACGUCAUGUUGGGACACCCGAGACCCCCAGCCCCUGCCCUAGGGGUCAGGGCAGCAGGUCCCAUCUCCCUUAGCUGGGCUGGGCCCAGGCAGCCUGUAUCACUGUUUGCUCCAGAGGCUGGGUGCGUCCUGCUUGGGGGCUGUGUGAGGCCCGCUUGUUUUCACCCACAGAUUCCCAGGGUUCUCAAGGCAGAGGAAAGCGACAAUUAGGGCAACACCCAUGUUGGUUGGAUCAGAGUGAAUCCCAGGCCUGCUUGGGAGGCUUUAGGCACUCAGCUCGGCCAUCUCUGAGGGUAAGGGCAUGUCAGCCACUCUGCUGGGGCAUCUCUGUGCUCAGCACCAUGUGGGCUCAUCACAGACACAAGAGUGCGUCCUCUCAGAGGGAAUGGUCUGGCAGGUUUUGCCUGUUUUCCUGCUCACAGGUUGAAUUUCUUGGCCAGCAUCCCAUAGCCAGGCCAGAGCGGAGCAGGGCUGCCUGCUGCACCCAGUGGCUUCUUGUCAAUCUCGGCCUCUCGUUCCCUGCCUGGGAGAGGGUCUCAGUGUGAAGGGCAGAGGGGUCUUCUGGAACCAGCCAGUGCUGUGUCGGAGAGAAAGACCAGGAGGAAAUUGGAGGGGUACAGGCCUGAAACUCUCCCGCUGCCUUGCCAGGCACCCAAACCUGCUUGACCUGAGUGUCUUUCCGGCGGCGGGUGGGGGGGAGGGGGGUGGGGCGUGCUGCAUCGCUUACUUUGCCUGUGUCUUAGGGGAGCCUACCCAUUGCCCUCCAGCACCGGCGAACAAAGACCCCCACGGUGGCCAGGCCUGUGCGGGGUGUAAACAGUGUCCCAGGGUGUCUUGGUGUCCUCACUACUACAUCCUCCACGUUCCAGAGGAGAAACUGAGGCCCGAGGACACCCAGAAUUUCCCAGGGUCACACCAAGGGGAAACAGGUGACGUUGAAGUGGACACAGGGUGAUGAGAGGGGUGCAGAAAAGGAGAUACCCUGGCAUGCCAAGCCUGGGGCUGGUUGUCCACAUCCAGGAAGGUCCCUGCAAGGUUGUGGCACCUUUUCAUGGCAAGCAGACGCAGCACCAUGAAUACCCACAGCCACUCCUAAGGGCCCCUUCAUGCGGUGGCUGUGCCCAGCACUGGGCACGCAGGAACCAAGGCCCAGAGAGUUCUGGGUGGGUGGGGAGAGCUAGAGCCUUCCUUCUGGGCUCCAGGGCUUUUCAGUAGCACCACUGGCUUUCUAGAAGGUUGCUGUGUGAUUGGAAACUUGUGCUUUGAGAUACGAUUAUCUGUGUGGGGAGGAGGUUGUACUGGAGUCAGCAGUGAGGGGUGGCAGCACUAGGCCAGAAAUGGAUGUGGGGUCCUCUUGCGUGGAGCUGCCACUCCCCCAGCCACUCUGUCCUUACAACCAAAACCCCAAAAGGGGGCUGAGCCGGCCCUUGUGAGUGAGAGUAGAGGAGAAGGAAGGGGCUGUGGGGGGAGAGAAGCACAUGGAGCUGGCCCACGUGGAGAGAGGGACCCUGGGUGGCAGGGUGGCGUUGGGGGAGAUUUGCCAUCAGAGUGACCUUAGUGACUGUGCCACCUCGACCCUGACCUGGGCAAUGCCUGUGAGGGCACUGGGGCCCAAGGUCCCAGAGGAGCAGGGGAACUAAGAUGUGGCUCUCACAGAACCUCAAAUGUAUCUCCAGACAUCCACAUAUCUGCACCUGACACACAUUUCUGGAACAGCUACUUGGCCAAGCACCACCAGUUUGUCUCUAUGCCCCUCUUGCUGGGGAGCCCAGUCUGGGGCAAAGGAAGGCACAGGGGCAUCCGCUCCAGGCUUUCCAGAAUAGGCAGAACACAGAAGGGGUGCCCGCCGGACACGCGGAGGGAGGAGAUGAGAAGAGUCCCCAGCGCCAGAAGGGGUGGAGACGGCCUUGCUGGGGCAGGGCCACAGGUCACCUGCUGCUGGGCUCUGGCUGCAGUGGGAAACAACCAAAGUUUUAAAAAGAGGGUGAACCUCUUAGGAAAGGAAAUGACAUUUAUAAAGAGGUAGGGACGUGGGGGCAGGGAUGAUGGCCUUGGUGGCCACAGCUCUUAAACCAGUGGGGAGGAGGCAGCCACGCCAGCAUGGUGAGAUCCAAGCCGCAGUGACGGGGCUGCACUCGCUCCAGGUAGAUUGCUCAAAUGGAAGCUUCUGGAUGGAUAACUAAGGCAGCACAACCCCCAGUCAUUGUCUGAGGGCCACCCUGGGGGAUGGAGCGAGUGCAGGCCAAGUGGAUGCAGGGCCCACGGCCAGUUUCCAGGGUGAGCUGCAGGGCAAGCCGUGGGAAGCCCCAGAGGCAGACGCUGAGGGAUGGGCACCCCAAGAGAGUCCAGGGAUCCGAGGCCACCUGGGUGGAGCCCGGACAGCGUCUACUCCAGGGAGCAAAGCUGAGGCAGGAGCCGAGGGCUUUCCAGUGGAUGUGGAGACUUCGGCUUACUCCCGCACUGACUUUAUCCCAUUUCUGAGCCUGUCGGCACGUGUAGAGCAUUUUGGGCUCAGUUUCUCUAGAGACUAACUGUGGCCUCCCAUGGGGUGGGGACAGGACAGUCUCCCGGCUGCAUGGAAUGGGAUGCCGACCGAGGGACGGGCUCUCUCUUAAAGACUUGCCACCACACCUCUCUUGUCCAUGCCAGGCUUCUGGGGUCCCCUCUGCUGCAGGUGCUUCGGGAGUCUCAGUGGUUCUUCAGGGCAAAGCUGGCCCUGACCGUGUGCUGCAUGCCCGGAGGUCUGACAUCGGUGCUGCUGAGUGGCCUGCCGUGGUUCUCUUGGUUUCCCAUCUUGCAAAGAGUCGGUGAACUCUCACCUGCUCUUGUCUCCUCGUCUCUGUGCCCUGUCCUCCUGCGGGGCUUGGGAAACCAUAGGUGAUAAACACAUGAGCCAAUCUGCCAUCUCCACUGGAGCCAAUGCUCUUUCUGUGUUCCCAUUGGCCUGCCUAGGACUGAGGUCAGCUCCAGGGUCAGAGGCAGGACUGGAGUUGGGUUCUAACUGAGGCAGAGACAGGGCUUGGGAGAAGAAAUCAAGGUGGAGGGCAGAGGCUCCAGGUCUUUGCCAGGCUCACCUCAGAAGUGGGUGUGUCAGGCUGUCCAGAGUGGAGUGCACAGAAGCUGGGGCUUUGACAAGGGCAGGGUGACCAGUCCAGGCUGGCCUCAAAGGCAAGAGCUUGACUGCAGGGCCAGCAGGCGUGUGAUGUGGGUGGGCCCUAAGGAGGCUGAGGGAGAGGAUAAACUGUGAAGAGCCAGCAGCCCAGAAGCUAAAUGCAGGGAGGCAGAGAAGACAGGAGAGAUGGAGGCUUGCAGGACCUGGUGGUUGGGGAGGGCCAGUGACCAGGUGUUUAGAAGCAGCACCUCCUGUGAUUGGGGCUGAGGGUGAACUCUGCUUUCAAGCAGAGGUGGUUUGUCGUGGGUCUUCCAUGAUGACACCAGGUCAAGGUAGGCUGUUAGCACUGAGGCCUGUGGGAAGGCGAGGCCCGUGGGCAGAGUCCCAGAAUGGGAGGAAAAUGAAGACAGCCACUGCAGGGACUUGGGUGUCAUUCUGAAGGAAGCCACUUAAUGGUAAAUGGAGCAACAACAUGGUAGCCUUUCCUCUGGGGGAGCCCAGAGACAAGGGGGGUCUGGGGAGGCAGGCAGGCAGGCAGGCAGGUCAGGCCAGGGAGGGGCUGUGCCCAGCAGGGAAUGGAUGGCACACUCCCUCCCAGAAAGGCUGCUGCAGGGCUCAGCACUCUGAACCUUAAAAGGUUUACCCAACAGAGCCUCCAGAUGCUCAGAGUCUUGCAGGCUCAGAACAAGAAUUGUCAACUUGCCAAGAUGAAUCUGUCUCUCGGGGGAGGACCCACACAGAACAAACGUUUGAAGCAGAAGUUUGCUUGGUAAACAUGGAAUCGGAACAUGGGAAUUGGGCCACUGGGAUAUUCAAUUGCGUCAGACCAUUGUAGCUGAUACUCCUGGACAGAGGGGCUUUGCCAACUGGACAGAUAUAUGAAGUGUUGCUGACCGAGCUCCUUGCUCUGUGUGGGAGGGAUCUUGCCAGCUCCAGCCUUGGUGGGUCUCCUUUUUCUGUUUCCAAGCUUAAAUAAGCACUUGGCUGUUCUGAUUAGCACUUUUAAAAGCUGUGUUAAUAAGUUCAAUUAAAAUAGAAGAAUCUCUCAUUCUGUCAUAUCGGGUUUUUUUAAUUGCAAACCAAUAAAACUUAAAUGAACUUGAGCAAAA
This 6337-nucleotide long non-coding RNA is filed under the name Homo sapiens (human). RNAcentral describes it as "HSALNT0027170". The record is from RNAcentral. Lineage: Eukaryota; Metazoa; Chordata; Mammalia; Primates; Hominidae.